This 301-nucleotide ribosomal RNA is filed under the name uncultured bacterium. RNAcentral's name for it is "partial 16S ribosomal RNA". It matches the Rfam family "Bacterial small subunit ribosomal RNA", at positions 509 to 808 of the family's 1533-position model. The record is from RNAcentral.
CAGUCGCCGCGGUAAUACAGAGGAUGCAAGCGUUAUCCGGAAUGAUUGGGCGUAAAGCGUCGCAGGCGGUUGUGUAAGACAGGUGUGAAAUCCCCGGGCUUAACCUGGGAACUGCGCUUGUGACUGCACAGCUAGAGUAUGGCAGAGGGGGGUGGAAUUCCACGUGUAGCAGUGAAAUGCGUAGAGAUGUGGAGGAACACCGAUGGCGAAGGCAGCCCCCUGGGCCAAUACUGACGCUCAUGCACGAAAGCGUGGGGAGCAAACAGGAUUAGAUACCCCCGUAGUCCCUGUCUCUUAUACA